GAACACGGGAUCUUGGUACGAGCCCUUCAUUGAGAGCGGGUCAGAGAGAGAAGAACCUCCGUCCGACCCUCAUGGCCUCAUUCAUCUCCCCUCUCUUUGCAUCUCGGUCUUUCUCUAGAUCCGAUCUCCCGAAUAUCUCUUCUAAGACCCUAACUGUAAGCCCGACUCUUGCAGGAAUUGCGCGAUUUUCCCUUCAUUCUUCGAUGAAUUUUUGGUAUUUCUCGAGGUUCUAAUUCGAGUUUUCUUAACUUGUUCCGUGGUUCGAAAUUCCCAAUUGGAGUGAUCCUGGAAUGGCUUUCUACCGGCUCAUUGGCGAGUGGUCGCGAUCUCGCCGGUGGAGAAGGUA
RNAcentral lists this long non-coding RNA (346 nucleotides) under Phoenix dactylifera (date palm). RNAcentral's name for it is "long non-coding RNA (PDAC_LNC014761)". Lineage: Eukaryota; Viridiplantae; Streptophyta; Magnoliopsida; Arecales; Arecaceae. The record is from RNAcentral.